RNAcentral lists this ribosomal RNA (484 nucleotides) under uncultured bacterium. RNAcentral's name for it is "partial 16S ribosomal RNA". It matches the Rfam family "Bacterial small subunit ribosomal RNA", at positions 30 to 507 of the family's 1533-position model. The record is from RNAcentral.
AUUGAACGCUGGCGGCAGGCCUAACACAUGCAAGUCGAGCGGAUGAAGGUAGCUUGCUCCUGGAUUCAGCGGCGGACGGGUGAGUAAUGCCUAGGAAUCUGCCUGGUAGUGGGGGAUAACGUCCGGAAACGGGCGCUAAUACCGCAUACGUCCUGAGGGAGAACGUGGGGGAUCUUCGGACCUCACGCUAUCAGAUGAGCCUAGGUCGGAUUAGCUAGUUGGUGGGGUAAAGGACUACCAAGGCGACGAUCCGUAACUGGUCUGAUAGGCUGGGCAGUCACACUGGAAGUGAGACACAGUCCAGACUGCUGCGGGAGGCAGCAGUGGGGAAUAUUGGGCAGUGGGCGGAAGCCUGGCACAGCCAUGCCGCGUGUGUGAAGAAGGUCUUCGGUUUGUAAAGCACUUUAAGUUGGGAGGAAGGGCAGUAAGAUAAUACGUUGCUGUUUUGACGUUACCAACAGAAUAAGCACCGGCUAACUACGUG